CCUACGGGUGGCAGCAGUGGGGAAUAUUGGGCAAUGGAGGCAACUCUGACCCAGCAACGCCGCGUGAAUGAUGAAGGUCUUCGGAUUGUAAAGUUCUGUGAUGGGGGAUGAACACAAUGACGGUACCCCAAUAGCAAGCCACGGCUAACUACGUGCCAGCAGCCGCGGUAAUACGUAGGUGGCAAGCGUUAUCCGGAAUUACUGGGUGUAAAGGGUGCGUAGGUGGUUAAGUAAGUUGGCGGUGAAAGUCCUGGGCCCAACCUCGGCGCUACCGCCGAAACUAUGUGACUGGAGUGCAGGAGAGGUAAGUGGAAUUCCUAGUGUAGCGGUGGAAGGCGUAGAUAUUAGGAGGAACAUCAGGGGCGAAGGCGACUUACUGGACUGUAACUGACGCUGAGGCACGAAAGCGUGGGGAGCAAACAGGAUUAGAUACCCUGGUAGUC
Molecule: ribosomal RNA, 443 nt
Filed under: uncultured bacterium
Lineage: Bacteria
Description: partial 16S ribosomal RNA
Rfam family: Bacterial small subunit ribosomal RNA
Source: RNAcentral